GACCAAGUGUGGACCCAGCAUAUGGACAGCAUCUCAGAUGGUGAAACAGUAAGGAUACCACAGAAGCUCUGGGGCCGACGCAGCCCAGCAUGCCUGCCUUCGCCCAUGACCGUCAGCCCCCUCAGAACUUGCAGGAACCACGGUGCUGGACACACUCUGGCUCCCUACCAUGCACCCUCAGUGCUAGCGAGACAUGAGCACCAUCCGCCCUUGUCCUACCAAGGGAAACUCACUGGAAUUGCUGCCCAGGGCCCCACUUUGCUGCUCUGGAACUGGCCACACUCACUGAGACCCUAGUGGUACCCAGCCUGCCCUGUGCCCUGACUGCAGGAUACAGCCUGGCCUCCCUCCCUGAGCCCACACAAACAGGACAGGGACAAGACAAAGACACGGCUCUGUAGGGUUACCUGGUGCCGGGGGCAGCCCAUGCAGAGCACCGGCUACCAUCCUCAGUCUCUGAGGCACGGGCACCAG
RNAcentral lists this long non-coding RNA (474 nucleotides) under Heterocephalus glaber (naked mole-rat). RNAcentral describes it as "lncRNA (ENSHGLG00100043584.1)". Lineage: Eukaryota; Metazoa; Chordata; Mammalia; Rodentia; Bathyergidae. The record is from RNAcentral.